CACGUCGCUGCCUCCAGGGACUCUCCCAGGAGAGACCCGCGCGCUCCCGGCCUCGAGGAAAUCGCGGUGGGAACAAACAGACUUAUAAAUGGAGGAGCUUUGGUGCCUACCCCACAGGUGGAUGUGAGGAUUAAAUGAGAUCAUCUAUAAGGAAGAUCGUAUCCCUGGACACAAGGAGAGUGAGGAUGGUAUGGUCGAUUGGAAAGUGCCCGCCCCCCUCAAGAUAUGUUGUCAGCCUAAUCCCUGGAACCUGUGAAUGAGACCUUGUUUGGAAAAAGGACUUUGCGGAUGUGAUUAAGUUGGGGAUCCUGAGAUGAGGCGAUCAUCCUGGAUCAUCCAGGCAGGCCCUAAACACCAUCACAGGUGUCCUUACAGGAGGGAUGCAGAUGGAGAUUAGGCAGAUGUGCCGAGGAGACGUGAUGCAAAGAUGGAGGGAUGCAGCUACAAGCCAAGGAGCGCGGAGAGGUGCCAGCAGCUACCAGAAGC
This is a long non-coding RNA of Balaenoptera musculus (blue whale), 486 nucleotides long. RefSeq lists it as uncharacterized. The transcript has 3 exons. The record is from RefSeq and is a predicted model, not a curated record. NCBI's taxonomy places the organism in Eukaryota, Metazoa, Chordata, Mammalia, Artiodactyla, Balaenopteridae.